GGGGACAUAUUAUGAAAAUUCCACUUUUGUAGUGCUUCUACACAUUAGUUUGGGUAUCUGGCAUGUCUACCGUCCCAAAAACUCUGGAAAAAAAUCACUCCCGCGAUUUGUUGUGGUUCCUCUAUUUCAGAAACUAUGUGCUAAAGUGCGUCCAAUGGAAUUUCCCCCGAAAUAGACGUCAUAGUCGAAAAAUGCCCAUUUAGUACAUUCCCCCAUAGCUCUAUGCACUCCCCCACUACCACUCGACCCACCCCUAGAUGGACCCUCCCACUUUAUAUAAGCUCGGUCCACCGGUAUCCGCCAUUUCAUUCUUGCAAGCCUUGGAAACACUUGGAUAAGCUAACAGCAGCAUGAAUCGGUGGUCGGCUGCAAACAUGUCUUCAUGUGACUCCAGCUUCAGAAGACACAAGAUUGAGAUGGAUUGAGUUCAUAUAUGAUGGCAACGUUCCUGCCACCACUUUGAAUCGGACUUUUUUAUCAACCUGGGCCAAUAUAACGCUGGAUUCUCUAAAAGGUUGUUAUUGAAAGAGGGGUCGGUGCCAUCUUUCCAUGGCAAUACUGAAGACGAGGGAAAUGCAAGCACAUCUGUUCACGGUGCUAGGCUACAUCACGUAGCAUGCCAGACGGACCCACCACAGAUGCGCACACAUGGAACGCAGCUUUCUAUGAAAACACUGCGACCUCACUACAAAAGUACAGGCACACAGAAAACUGUGCUGCACUGAUGUUGGUGUUGGGACCUCAGCUGUAAGAGACCUCGCUUGGAGGAGGGAGAGGACAAGAUGUGACAUUACGUGGAUAACCUGUUGGACCUCAUCUUUCACGAGGUUUUUCAGGACCCGGCCCCAUAUGUGAAUGAGGUGCUGAAGAUCUCAAAACCUGAGGAUCUCUCUGCCUAGUAUGAGAAACCUGACAAGCAGGAAGUUAUAGCCAGCUAUGUGUCGAGUUUCAAUCAAGGGCAGGUCUGAACCCUGUAUAACUUCCCUGAGCAUCAGGGAACACUCAGCGUAUCUGGAGCACCGAGCAGGAGGGCAGGACCACCCUGAUUCUCCGGCCCAGGUGGCCUCAACACCAGCUAACAAAGCUUCUCUACGACAAAUACCUGUAACGGCUGAGCAAAGUUCACAUUGUAUUUAGAGAAUAAAGGUGACACACAAAUAUAAAGUGUUCCUUUGUUUACAGUAUG
Molecule: long non-coding RNA, 1186 nt
Organism: Pleuronectes platessa (European plaice)
Lineage: Eukaryota; Metazoa; Chordata; Actinopteri; Pleuronectiformes; Pleuronectidae
Exons: 4
Source: RefSeq, a predicted model, not a curated record